RNAcentral lists this long non-coding RNA (375 nucleotides) under Pongo abelii (Sumatran orangutan). RNAcentral's name for it is "lincRNA". The record is from RNAcentral. Lineage: Eukaryota; Metazoa; Chordata; Mammalia; Primates; Hominidae.
GAAACUACCCUGCCUUUCCCCCAGUUUUGGUCUGUGAACACAUUUGGGAAAUUCUCCUGAUCCUACCUCUACUCUCUUGAGAGAGAGAAACAAGGGGAAAAAAAGUUAAUUGCCUGAGGAUACACUGCUAGUGUUGCGGGACAAAUAGAGACGGGAGAGGCCAAACAGAGUUCAGGAGAACCCUUUAUUAUUAAGUGCGCUAGGGAGGGAAGCAAGAACUCGUGGUGCCUCGAGGAAUGUGAAACGAUGGAACACAGAUAAGCCUCUCCACGAAGAAACAGCGCAGAUUUGACCAAGAUCACACAAGUAGGAGUUGAGGAAUUGGAACCCACUAUGACUGACUCCAAAUUAAUAUAGUGUUUAUAGCCACUUACA